This 76-nucleotide transfer RNA is filed under the name Polaribacter butkevichii. Its description in RNAcentral is "tRNA-Thr". It matches the Rfam family "tRNA". Rfam says of the family: Transfer RNA (tRNA) molecules are approximately 80 nucleotides in length. Their secondary structure includes four short double-helical elements and three loops (D, anti-codon, and T loops). Further hydrogen bonds mediate the characteristic L-shaped molecular structure. tRNAs have two regions of fundamental functional importance: the anti-codon, which is responsible for specific mRNA codon recognition, and the 3' end, to which the tRNAs corresponding amino acid is attached (by aminoacyl-tRNA synthetases). tRNAs cope with the degeneracy of the genetic code in two manners: having more than one tRNA (with a specific anti-codon) for a particular amino acid; and 'wobble' base-pairing, i.e. permitting non-standard base-pairing at the 3rd anti-codon position. The record is from RNAcentral. Lineage: Bacteria; Pseudomonadati; Bacteroidota; Flavobacteriia; Flavobacteriales; Flavobacteriaceae.
GCCGGUGUAGCUCAGUUGGUAGAGCGCAUCCUUGGUAGGGAUGAGGUCGUGGGUUCAAGUCCCAUCGCUGGCUCAA